GGAAUAUUGCACAAUGGGCGCAAGCCUGAUGCAGCCAUGCCGCGUGAGUGAAGAAGGCCUUAGGGUUGUAAAGCUCUUUCGCCGGUGAAGAUAAUGACGGUAGCCGGAGAAGAAGCCCCGGCCAACUCCGUGCCAGCAGCCGCGGUAAUACGGAGGGGGCUAGCGUUGUUCGGAAUUACUGGGCGUAAAGCGCGCGUAGGCGGGCUGGUAAGUUGGGGGUGAAAUCCCGAGGCUCAACCUCGGAACUGCCCUCAAAACUGCCAAUCUUGAGUCCGGGAGAGGUGAGUGGAAUUCCUAGUGUAGAGGUGAAAUUCGUAGAUAUUAGGAAGAACACCAGUGGCGAAGGCGGCUCACUGGCCCGAGACUGACGCUGAGGCGCGAAAGCGUGGGGAGCAAAC
This 398-nucleotide ribosomal RNA is filed under the name uncultured bacterium. Its description in RNAcentral is "bacterial SSU rRNA". It matches the Rfam family "Bacterial small subunit ribosomal RNA", at positions 358 to 773 of the family's 1533-position model. The record is from RNAcentral.